AGAGUUUGAUCCUGGCUCAGAUUGAACGCUGGCGGCAGGCUUAACACAUGCAAGUCGAGCGGUAACAGAGAUAGCUUGCUAUCUGCUGACGAGCGGCGGACGGGUGAGUAAUGCUUGGGAAUAUGCCUUUGAGUGGGGGACAACAGUUGGAAACGACUGCUAAUACCGCAUAACGUCUACGGACCAAAGGGGGGGAUCUUCGGACCUCUCGCUCAUUGAUUAGCCCAAGUGAGAUUAGCUAGUUGGUAAGGUAAUGGCUUACCAAGGCGACGAUCUCUAGCUGGUUUGAGAGGAUGAUCAGCCACACUGGGACUGAGACACGGCCCAGACUCCUACGGGAGGCAGCAGUGGGGAAUAUUGCACAAUGGGCGAAAGCCUGAUGCAGCCAUGCCGCGUGUGUGAAGAAGGCCUUCGGGUUGUAAAGCACUUUCAGUUGUGAGGAAAGGGGUGUAGUUAAUAGCUGCAUUCUGUGACGUAACAACAGAAGAAGCACCGCUAACUU
Molecule: ribosomal RNA, 502 nt
Filed under: uncultured bacterium
Lineage: Bacteria
Description: bacterial SSU rRNA
Rfam family: Bacterial small subunit ribosomal RNA
Source: RNAcentral